RNAcentral lists this ribosomal RNA (899 nucleotides) under uncultured bacterium. Its description in RNAcentral is "bacterial SSU rRNA". It matches the Rfam family "Bacterial small subunit ribosomal RNA", at positions 26 to 896 of the family's 1533-position model. The record is from RNAcentral.
AGAAUGAACGCUGGCGGCGUGCUUAACACAUGCAAGUCGCACGAGAACGCUUCAGCUUGCUGAGGCUAGUAAAGUGGCGCACGGGUGAGUAACGCGUGGGUAAUCUCCCCCCGAAUUGGGGAUAACAUCGCGAAAGCGAUGCUAAUACCGAAUGAUAUCUGAAAAAUUCCGAUUUUUUGGAUCAAAGGUGGCCUCUACAUGUAAGCUACUGUUUGGGGAUGAGCCCGCGUACCAUUAGCUUGUUGGUAGGGUAAUGGCCUACCAAGGCUACGAUGGUUAGCUGGUCUGAGAGGAUGAUCAGCCACACUGGAACUGACACACGGUCCAGACUCCUACGGGAGGCAGCAGUGAGGAAUUUUGCGCAAUGGGGGAAACCCUGACGCAGCAACGCCGCGUGAGUGAUGAAGGCUUUCGGGUCGUAAAGCUCUGUCAAGUGGGAAGAAAACAUAUGGUGACAAUACCGCUGUAUGCUGACGGUACCACUGAAGGAAGCACCGGCUAACUCCGUGCCAGCAGCCGCGGUAAUACGGGGGGUGCGAGCGUUAUUCGGAAUUACUGGGCGUAAAGAGCGCGUAGGCGGUCUUUUAAGUCAGGUGUGAAAGCCCGGGGCUCAACCCCGGAAGUGCACUUGAAACUAAGAGACUUGAGUAUGGGAGAGGGAAGUGGAAUUCCUGGUGUAGCGGUGAAAUGCGUAGAUAUCAGGAGGAACAUCGGUGGCGAAGGCGACUUCCUGGACCAAUACUGACGCUGAGGCGCGAAGGCGUGGGGAGCAAACAGGAUUAGAUACCCUGGUAGUCCACGCAGUAAACGGUGAACACUAGGUGUAGCGGGUAUUGACCCCUGCUGUGCCGCAGCAAACGCAUUAAGUGUUCCGCCUGGGGAGUACGGCCGCAAGGUUA